AGUGAACGCUGGCGGUAUGCCUAACACAUGCAAGUCGAACGGCAGCACAGUAAGAGCUUGCUCUUACGGGUGGCGAGUGACGGACGGGUGAGGAAUACAUCGGAAUCUACUUUUUCGUGGGGGAUAACGUAGGGAAACUUACGCUAAUACCGCAUACGACCUACGGGUGAAAUCAGGAGAUCUUCGGACCUUGCGCGAUUGAAUUAGCCGAUGUCGGAUUAGCUAGUUGGCGGGGUAAAGGCCCACCAAGGCGACGAUCCGUAGCUGGUCUGAGAGGAUGAUCAGCCACACUGGAACUGAGACACGGUCCAGACUCCUACGGGAGGCAGCAGUGGGGAAUAUUGGACAAUGGGCGCAAGCCUGAUCCAGCCAUACCGCGUGGGUGAAGAAGGCCUUCGGGUUGUAAAGCCCUUUUGUUGGGAAAGAAAAGAAGCAGGUUAAUACCCCGCUGUUUUGACGGUACCUAAAGAAUAAGCACCGGCUAACUUCGUG
Molecule: ribosomal RNA, 492 nt
Filed under: uncultured bacterium
Lineage: Bacteria
Description: partial 16S ribosomal RNA
Rfam family: Bacterial small subunit ribosomal RNA
Source: RNAcentral